CCUACGGGGGCAGCAGUGGGGAAUAUUGGACAAUGGGCGAAAGCCUGAUCCAGCCAUGCCGCGUGUGUGAAGAAGGCCUUCGGGUUGUAAAGCACUUUCAGUGGGGAAGAAAGCCUUGGGGCUAAUACCCUCGAGGAAGGACAUCACCCACAGAAGAAGCACCGGCUAACUCCGUGCCAGCAGCCGCGGUAAUACGGAGGGUGCGAGCGUUAAUCGGAAUUACUGGGUGUAAAGCGCGCGUAGGCGGUCUGAUAAGCCGGUUGUGAAAGCCCCGGGCUCAACCUGGGAACGGCAUCCGGAACUGUCAGGCUAGAGUGCAGGAGAGGAAGGUAGAAUUCCCGGUGUAGCGGUGAAAUGCGUAGAGAUCGGGAGGAAUACCAGUGGCGAAGGCGGCCUUCUGGACUGACACUGACGCUGAGGUGCGAAAGCGUGGGUAGCAAACAGGAUUAGAUACCCCUGUAGUC
Molecule: ribosomal RNA, 464 nt
Filed under: Vreelandella stevensii
Lineage: Bacteria; Pseudomonadati; Pseudomonadota; Gammaproteobacteria; Oceanospirillales; Halomonadaceae
Description: partial 16S ribosomal RNA
Rfam family: Bacterial small subunit ribosomal RNA
Source: RNAcentral